AUGAAACUCCUAUCACGGAACUGCAGUGGAAUGCUUUUGACCACGACAGUUGGAGAGCUCUUGGACCUGCAAGGGCGUGUGAAAGCAGAUGUGUUUUUUUUUUUGUCUGAAUCCCAUCUGAAUGAAGCUAAGACAAUUGAUCUAAGAGUAAAACUAGGAUUUGAUUUUUUUCAUAUAGUUGAGAGUGAUGGUCGGUCAGGAGGGCUUGUUUUGUUUUACAAUUCCCCUAAUGAAGUGGUUUUAAAUUACUCAUCGCCUAAUUUUAUUGAUGGUUUUGUCAUGAAGGACAAUUCUGUGGCAUGGAAGUUGACAUGUUUUUACGGAGAACCAAAUUGGGACCAGAAGCACUUGUCUUGGACGUACUUGGGAGAUCUCCAUAGUAACUUAACAGGGCCAUGGAUGGUAAUGGGGGAUUUGAACGAAAUCCUAGUGGCGAGUGAAAAGGAAGGAGGCAAUGUUAGACCACAACAGCACAUGCAGAAUUUCCGGGACUGUGUUGUGGACUAUGAAUUACAAGAGCUCAUGACAAUAGGAGAUCCAUUUACUUGGAGUCGUGGAAUAAUCAGAGAAUGCCUAGACAGAGGCUUAUGCAAUGAUCGAUGGGCCAAUAUGUUUCCGUAUGCGGCAGUAGUUCACGAGCACCACGUUCACUCAGAUCAUUGA
Molecule: ribosomal RNA, 663 nt
Filed under: Triticum aestivum (bread wheat)
Lineage: Eukaryota; Viridiplantae; Streptophyta; Magnoliopsida; Poales; Poaceae
Description: partial small subunit ribosomal RNA
Source: RNAcentral